GGAUUAGAUACCCUGGUAGUCCACGCCGUAAACGAUGAGAACUAGAUGUCGGGAGAAUCUGUCUUUCGGUGUCGCAGCUAACGCGUUAAGUUCUCCGCCUGGGGAGUACGCCGGCAACGGUAAAACUCAAAGGAAUUGACGGGGACCCGCACAAGCGGUGGAGCAUGUGGUUUAAUUCGAUGCAACGCGAAGAACCUUACCUGCCCUUGACAUUGACAGAAUCCUGUAGAGAUACGGGAGUGCUUCGGCCUGGAAAACAGGUGCUGCAUGGCUGUCGUCAGCUCGUGCCG
Molecule: ribosomal RNA, 290 nt
Filed under: uncultured bacterium
Lineage: Bacteria
Description: partial 16S ribosomal RNA
Rfam family: Bacterial small subunit ribosomal RNA
Source: RNAcentral